Lytechinus variegatus (green sea urchin) is the source of this 770-nucleotide long non-coding RNA. RefSeq lists it as uncharacterized. The transcript has 2 exons. The record is from RefSeq and is a predicted model, not a curated record. NCBI's taxonomy places the organism in Eukaryota, Metazoa, Echinodermata, Echinoidea, Temnopleuroida, Toxopneustidae.
UAAAGAUUAAUGUAUUAUAUUUUAUUGUUUAUACAAUAAAAACUCUUUCUGAUGGUACAAUACAUUGAAUUGAACAUCAGUCAUUCUGUUCAAUAUUCUUAAUCAUACCUCAUAAAAUGUAUGCGUAUAUGUCAUUUACAUCACUUAUGUAACAAUAAUGAACAGCACCAAAAAUGGAACCAUUUCUUAAUAAAAUUCAUCAAUAAUAAACAAUGAUUUAAAAGAUAAACUGUUGAGAUGGUAAGUCAUCCAUUUCAAGGUACAAUCCAAUAGUUUCCAUGAUAUUUGGAGUAAAAAAUGAGAAAGGGGAAAAAUCACAACGAACAUUGUCCUUGGCUCAAAAUUAAUAUCAAACUGAUCUUAAAAAAACAUAUAAUAAAAGGUAUUUCGCCUAUACAAUAGGCAUGACUAACCAAACAGUAUACCAAGUAAUAAUUAUGACAGCAGAAGAGCCACAUAUAACAAGCAUGGGGGAGGGGGGGGGUGUCCAAAAGUACUCAAGACCAGAGCGAAUAAAAAAAAAACAUAAAUUUCAAAGAAAACCAAACUUAAAACUCCCAGUAUCAUUGAUCUUGGAGCUAACAAUGGCAGUAUUGUUAAAGUAAACGCUUUGUGAACUGAGCAUUAUAAUUUCUUUGGACUCCUCAGCUGUGGCCGAUUGUAUCGCAGAUUGGUCUUCAAUCAUUAUGAGGAUCAACCUUGACAAAUGACUUGUCUGCCUACUCAUCUGUUGUAUUGACAGGAGAUUCAAUGCAUUAUAUUCUUUUUAA